GUGCUCAUACAGCAGAUACCGGCUCAGGAUCUCCGGGUUGUAACCGGCAGGUCCCCCGUUCAAAUCGGGGCGGGCGGACCA
RNAcentral lists this transfer RNA (81 nucleotides) under Thermoprotei archaeon. Its description in RNAcentral is "tRNA-Thr". The record is from RNAcentral. Lineage: Archaea; Thermoproteati; Thermoproteota; Thermoprotei.